This is a long non-coding RNA of Seriola aureovittata, 342 nucleotides long. RefSeq lists it as uncharacterized. NCBI's taxonomy places the organism in Eukaryota, Metazoa, Chordata, Actinopteri, Carangiformes, Carangidae. The record is from RefSeq and is a predicted model, not a curated record. The transcript is spliced from 2 exons.
GUACAGAGCUGACUGAAAUUUGAUAUGCAAAAUAACAAUUUUGCUUCAUGUUGGCUUCGCUCGCUCCCCCAGUUUAUGCUUACAAUCCUACCCACUCUAUUUCCUGUUGCGCCUGCUAUUCGUCACAAUAGGAUCAUACUCCUCCUGUCUGCCUGCCGUCCCUCACUGACAGACUCUGCAUUCAGCCACUCACCGCCUGCCUGUCCCUCAGCCACCUCGCCAGCCCUGUUUUCCUCAUCCCGGAUUCGCUCCGCCAUUCGUCGCCUGCCAGCCUCUCAAUUCUCCUCAGCCUUCACCUGCCCUGCCACACUCUCUCUUUACAAUAAAUUCAGUUCAACUUGC